RNAcentral lists this ribosomal RNA (301 nucleotides) under uncultured bacterium. RNAcentral describes it as "partial 16S ribosomal RNA". It matches the Rfam family "Bacterial small subunit ribosomal RNA", at positions 509 to 807 of the family's 1533-position model. The record is from RNAcentral.
CAGCCGCCACGGUAAUACGGAGGGAGCUAGCGUUGUUCGGAAUUACUGGGCGUAAAGCGCGCGUAGGCGGUUACUCAAGUCAGAGGUGAAAGCCCGGGGCUCAACCCCGGAACUGCCUUUGAAACUAGGUGACUAGAAUCUUGGAGAGGUCAGUGGAAUUCCGAGUGUAGAGGUGAAAUUCGUAGAUAUUCGGAAGAACACCAGUGGCGAAGGCGACUGACUGGACAAGUAUUGACGCUGAGGUGCGAAAGCGUGGGGAGCAAACAGGAUUAGAUACCCCCGUAGUCCCUGUCUCUUAUAC